Molecule: long non-coding RNA, 269 nt
Organism: Helianthus annuus (common sunflower)
Lineage: Eukaryota; Viridiplantae; Streptophyta; Magnoliopsida; Asterales; Asteraceae
Exons: 3
Source: RefSeq, a predicted model, not a curated record
AUAUGAUUUAUCUUCAACAAUUGUCAAGAGGUUCAGCCGUACUUAGAAGAACACUUGCGGUUUUUACAAAUGCAACAUCCGGAAUCAUCAGAUUUUUACGAGAUGCAGCAAUCUACAUUCUCGACUUGGUUUGCAAAACGGAUUCAAGAGAUGUAUGCGCUAAAUCCAUCUCAAAUUAAUGAAGAGUUAUAUGCAUUGUCUUGCCUUCCUGAUAAUCGAGUAUCGUCACACAGGGGUUAUAUCGUGAACGGGGUAAAAUUUAUAGUUAA